AUUGAACGCUGGCGGCAUGCCUUACACAUGCAAGUCGAACGGUAACGUGCCUUCGGGUGCCGACGAGUGUCGAACGGGUGAGUAAUACAUCGGAACGUGCCCGAUCGUGGUGGAUAACGAGGCGAAAGCUUUGCUAAUACCUCAUACGAUCUACGGAUGAAAGCAGGGGACCGCAAGGCCUUGCGCGGACGGUGCGGCCGAUGGCAGAUUAGGUAGUUGGUGGGAUAAAGGCUUACCAAGCCGACGAUCUGUAGCUGGUCUGAGAGGAUGAUCAGCCACACUGGGACUGAGACACGGCCCAGACUCCUACGGGAGGCAGCAGUGGGGAAUUUUGGACAAUGGGCGCAAGCCUGAUCCAGCCAUGCCGCGUGCAGGAUGAAGGCCUUCGGGUUGUAAACUGCUUUUGUACGGAACGAAAAGCCUUCUUUUAAUACAGGAGGGUCAUGACGGUACCGUAAGAAUAAGCACCGGCUAACUACGUG
RNAcentral lists this ribosomal RNA (482 nucleotides) under uncultured bacterium. RNAcentral describes it as "partial 16S ribosomal RNA". It matches the Rfam family "Bacterial small subunit ribosomal RNA", at positions 30 to 507 of the family's 1533-position model. The record is from RNAcentral.